Molecule: microRNA precursor, 65 nt
Filed under: Monopterus albus (swamp eel)
Lineage: Eukaryota; Metazoa; Chordata; Actinopteri; Synbranchiformes; Synbranchidae
Description: Mal-Mir-96-P2b_pre stem-loop
Rfam family: mir-182 microRNA precursor family
Source: RNAcentral
UUUGGCAAUGGUAGAACUCACUCUGGUGGGCUGGAAGGAUCCAGUGGUUCUAGACUUGCCAACAA